Sinocyclocheilus rhinocerous is the source of this 362-nucleotide long non-coding RNA. RefSeq lists it as uncharacterized. NCBI's taxonomy places the organism in Eukaryota, Metazoa, Chordata, Actinopteri, Cypriniformes, Cyprinidae. The transcript has 3 exons. The record is from RefSeq and is a predicted model, not a curated record.
AGAACCAGGCUCUGGAGGUCAGCCAGGACCUCAGGGUUUCCCCGGACCCAGAGGAGAUCCAGGUUUACCAGGAACAACAAAUGCUGGCUUACAUGGGCCUCCAGGAAGAGAUGGUUUUCCAGGUUUGCCAGGAGCUAAGGGAGAACCCGGUGUGGUCCUUGGGGCCACCCCUGGAGGUCCAGGUUCUCCAGGGAGACCAGGAGAACCAGGAGACAAGGGUCAACCUGGUGCACCUGGAUUAUCAGGGAGGCUUGGUAAUGAUGGACGCAACGGUUUUCCUGGCAUAAAGGGAGAACGAGGUGUGGAUGGAAUACCUGGUCCCAUAGGUCCCAUAGGUCCACCAGGAGAAAUCCCUCCCGGGG